AGCAGCCGCGGUAAUUCCAGCUCCAAUAGCGUAUAUUAAAGUUGCUGCAGUUAAAAAGCUCGUAGUUGAAUUUCGGGAUCAUCAUGUCGGUCGUGCCUCGGUACGUACUGGCAUUGUUGGUUUCUACCUUCUGACGAACCAUGAUGUCAUUAAUUUGGUGUCUUGGGGAAUCAGGACUGUUACUUUGAAAAAUUAGAGUGUUUAAAGCAGGCUCGCGCUUGAAUACAUUAGCAUGGAAUAAUGAAAUAGGACGUUUUGAUUCUAUUUUGUUGGUUUCUAGGAUUGACGUAAUGAUUAAUAGGGAUAGUUGGGGGCAUUAGUAUUCAAUUGUCAGAGGUGAAAUUCUUGGAUUUAUUGAAGACUAACUACUGCGAAAGCAUUUGCCAAGGAUGUUUUCAUUAAUCAAAGAACGAAAGUUAAGGGGAUCGAAGACGAUCAGAUACCGUCGUAGUCUUAACCAUAAACUAUGCCGACUAGGGAUCGGAUGAUGUUAAUUUUUAAUGACUCAUUC
RNAcentral lists this ribosomal RNA (511 nucleotides) under uncultured Glomus. RNAcentral's name for it is "SSU rRNA". It matches the Rfam family "Eukaryotic small subunit ribosomal RNA", at positions 569 to 1081 of the family's 1831-position model. Lineage: Eukaryota; Fungi; Glomeromycota; Glomeromycetes; Glomerales; Glomeraceae. The record is from RNAcentral.